This 467-nucleotide ribosomal RNA is filed under the name uncultured bacterium. RNAcentral describes it as "partial 16S ribosomal RNA". It matches the Rfam family "Bacterial small subunit ribosomal RNA", at positions 28 to 507 of the family's 1533-position model. The record is from RNAcentral.
GACGAACGCUGGCGGCGUGCUUAACACAUGCAAGUCGAACGGAAAGGCCCUGCUUUUGUGGGGUGCUCGAGUGGCGAACGGGUGAGUAACACGUGAGUAACCUGCCCUUGACUUUGGGAUAACUUCAGGAAACUGGGGCUAAUACCGGAUAGGAGCUCCUGCUGCAUGGUGGGGGUUGGAAAGUUUCGGCGGUUGGGGAUGGACUCGCGGCUUAUCAGCUUGUUGGUGGGGUAGUGGCUUACCAAGGCUUUGACGGGUAGCCGGCCUGAGAGGGUGACCGGCCACAUUGGGACUGAGAUACGGCCCAGACUCCUACGGGAGGCAGCAGUGGGGAAUAUUGCACAAUGGGCGGAAGCCUGAUGCAGCAACGCCGCGUGCGGAUGACGGCCUUCGGGUUGUAAACCGCUUUCGCCUGUGACGAAGCGUGAGUGACGGUAAUGGGUAAAGAAGCACCGGCUAACUACGUG